This 72-nucleotide transfer RNA is filed under the name Ovis aries (sheep). It matches the Rfam family "tRNA". From Rfam's summary of the family: Transfer RNA (tRNA) molecules are approximately 80 nucleotides in length. Their secondary structure includes four short double-helical elements and three loops (D, anti-codon, and T loops). Lineage: Eukaryota; Metazoa; Chordata; Mammalia; Artiodactyla; Bovidae. The record is from Rfam by way of RNAcentral.
UCCCUAGUGGCUUAGACGGUAAAGUGUCUGCCUGCAAUGCGGGAGACCCAGGUUCGAUCCCUGGGUCGGGAA